AAGAGUAAAUUUAACCAAUAAUCACUGAACUUUACACUUGAUUACUACUUGCUCACUCAUCUUUCACAUAUUACUGAAUGCUCACUCAUCUUUUCAUAUAAUUACUCAUUCAUCACUCGUCUCUUCAAAUAAUUGGGCGACUUGUACGACAAAUUUUCGACAACUUCCGACCACAAAGAAUGUCAAAUUUUGAUACCGUUGGAAAGCCUACGAUGUCCUCUUCAAUUACCACCCAAAAUCUCAUUAUAACUCCAAGGGAUUCAAUCGAAA
RNAcentral lists this long non-coding RNA (270 nucleotides) under Olea europaea (common olive). RNAcentral's name for it is "long non-coding RNA (OEUR_LNC011908)". Lineage: Eukaryota; Viridiplantae; Streptophyta; Magnoliopsida; Lamiales; Oleaceae. The record is from RNAcentral.